AGAUGUCAUUGUCCCAUGUGACGUAGUAGGUCAGGUUGCCGCCAAAACUUGAUCGGAUCUUGUACGAACGUCUGCUAACCUGUCUGUGAAGAUGAAAGUUCUCUACAUCUUAUUCCUCGUUCUGCUUGCCGUCUGCACCGUGUUGGCGGGAAAAUCAGGGCUCAAGCGUCAGGCCACCUAUGGUGAGUGCAUCACAUGGUGUGGUGACGACAUCCCGUGCAAGAUUGGAUGUUCAAAUAACUUUCCUAAUUAGCAACUUGAUGACGUCAAGUCGCAUCUGACCAGCGGAUAUUCACAACACAAUUCUACUACAAUGUUGUCGACAUUUAUUCAAUUAAAAACGUUUUAAAAUUA
Physella acuta is the source of this 354-nucleotide long non-coding RNA. RefSeq lists it as uncharacterized. The record is from RefSeq and is a predicted model, not a curated record. NCBI's taxonomy places the organism in Eukaryota, Metazoa, Mollusca, Gastropoda, Physidae.